CAGGAUUUCAUACAUAUCUUUCUUGUAAUGCUCCAUGAAUCAUAAUUAUUAGACACAGCUGUGAAGAAAUGAUCCAGUUUGACACUCUGAGACACUAACUAUGUGCACCACAUUUGCUCCUCUGUUGUACAUACGGGACAAAGCUGGCUCUGGACACAAAAUUUAUCCUCAAGUCCUAGACAGACUUUUUGCUCUGGGGCACGCAUGGCAAGGUCCUGUGCUGUGGAGCUGCCGCUGGCAGCUGUACACGCACACUGCCUGCAUCCCUCCCUGGCCCUGCAGCACUUCUUGGCCUUGACCCUGCUCCCCUCCCAGCAUCUCCCCAGUGCUCAGUGGCUUCAGAUUCGGAGCUGGGCCUGCAGGUUGGCAGGACUAACACAGACAGCAGAAGGUCUCAGCCUGGGAAGGCCCCUGCAUGCAGGCCGCACUGUUUCCUGA
This 438-nucleotide long non-coding RNA is filed under the name Anser brachyrhynchus (Pink-footed goose). RNAcentral's name for it is "lncRNA (ENSABRG00000020534.1)". The record is from RNAcentral. Lineage: Eukaryota; Metazoa; Chordata; Aves; Anseriformes; Anatidae.